UCCGUAGGUGAACCUGCGGAAGGAUCAUUACUGAGUGCGGGCUGCCUUCGGGCGCCCAACCUCCCACCCGUGACUACCUAACACUGUUGCUUCGGCGGGGAGCCCUCUCGGGGGCGAGCCGCCGGGGACUACUGAACUUCAUGCCUGAGAGUGAUGCAGUCUGAGUCUGAAUAUAAAAUCAGUCAAAACUUUCAACAAUGGAUCUCUUGGUUCCGGCAUCGAUGAAGAACGCAGCGAACUGCGAUAAGUAAUGUGAAUUGCAGAAUUCAGUGAAUCAUCGAGUCUUUGAACGCACAUUGCGCCCCCUGGCAUUCCGGGGGGCAUGCCUGUCCGAGCGUCAUUGCUGCCCAUCAAGCCCGGCUUGUGUGUUGGGUCGUCGUCCCCCCCGGGGGACGGGCCCGAAAGGCAGCGGCGGCACCGUGUCCGGUCCUCGAGCGUAUGGGGCUUUGUCACCCGCUCGAUUUAGGGCCGGCCGGGCGCCAGCCGACGUCCAACCAUUUUUCUUCAGGUUGACCUCGGAUCAGGUAGGGAUACCCGCUGAACUUAAGCAUAUCAAUAAGCGGAGGAAAGGGCGAAUUCC
RNAcentral lists this ribosomal RNA (580 nucleotides) under Aspergillus versicolor. Its description in RNAcentral is "eukaryotic LSU rRNA". The stretch from base 187 to 340 matches the Rfam family "5.8S ribosomal RNA". The record is from RNAcentral. Lineage: Eukaryota; Fungi; Ascomycota; Eurotiomycetes; Eurotiales; Aspergillaceae.